UACGGAAGGGGCUAGCGUUGUUCGGAUUUACUGGGCGUAAAGCGCACGUAGGCGGCGGACCGAGUUAGGCGUGAAAGCCCUGGGCUCAACCCGGGAAUAGCGCUUAAGACUGGUUUGCUGGAGUCCGGGAGAGGGUGGUGGAACUCCCAGUGUAGAGGUGAAAUUCGUAGAUAUUGGGAAGAACACCGGUGGCGAAGGCGGCCGCCUGGACCGGUACUGACGCUGAGGUGCGAAAGCGUGGGGAGCAAACAGG
RNAcentral lists this ribosomal RNA (253 nucleotides) under uncultured bacterium. Its description in RNAcentral is "partial 16S ribosomal RNA". It matches the Rfam family "Bacterial small subunit ribosomal RNA", at positions 524 to 776 of the family's 1533-position model. The record is from RNAcentral.